RNAcentral lists this long non-coding RNA (209 nucleotides) under Gossypium raimondii (Peruvian cotton). RNAcentral's name for it is "long non-coding RNA (GRAI_LNC010584)". The record is from RNAcentral. Lineage: Eukaryota; Viridiplantae; Streptophyta; Magnoliopsida; Malvales; Malvaceae.
GCAGCUGUAAGGCCCAAUAUUUGCCCGGCCCGUAAUAAUAAAAACCAAAAAUAAUAAUUAAAUGGCCACAGUCCAAAUUACAAUGGGCUUGAGUGGCCCGAACACAAAAUACCCAAAAUGAUACCAAACCUAUACCCAUUACACUGGUCCAAUACCCCUACCCAAUCAUAACACAACCCAAAACACUUUCCAGAAACCCUAGGGCAAAC